GACGAACGCUGGCGGCGUGCUUAACACAUGCAAGUCGAACGGGAAGGCCCUUCGGGGUACUCGAGUGGCGAACGGGUGAGUAACACGUGGGUGAUCUGCCCUGCACUUUGGGAUAAGCCUGGGAAACUGGGUCUAAUACCGAAUAGGACCACGCGCUUCAUGGUGUGUGGUGGAAAGCUUUUGCGGUGUGGGAUGGGCCCGCGGCCUAUCAGCUUGUUGGUGGGGUAAUGGCCUACCAAGGCGACGACGGGUAGCCGGCCUGAGAGGGUGACCGGCCACACUGGGACUGAGAUACGGCCCAGACUCCUACGGGAGGCAGCAGUGGGGAAUAUUGCACAAUGGGCGCAAGCCUGAUGCAGCGACGCCGCGUGAGGGAUGACGGCCUUCGGGUUGUAAACCUCUUUCACCAGGGACGAAGCGUAAGUGACGGUACCUGGAGAAGAAGCACCGGCCAACUACGUG
This 462-nucleotide ribosomal RNA is filed under the name uncultured bacterium. RNAcentral describes it as "partial 16S ribosomal RNA". It matches the Rfam family "Bacterial small subunit ribosomal RNA", at positions 28 to 507 of the family's 1533-position model. The record is from RNAcentral.